GAUGAACGCUGGCGGCGUGCUUAACACAUGCAAGUCGAACGGAAAGGCCCAAGCUUGCUUGGGUACUCGAGUGGCGAACGGGUGAGUAACACGUGGGUGAUCUGCCCUGCACUUCGGGAUAAGCCUGGGAAACUGGGUCUAAUACCGGAUAGGACGAUGGUUUGGAUGCCAUUGUGGAAAGUUUUUUCGGUGUGGGAUGAGCUCGCGGCCUAUCAGCUUGUUGGUGGGGUAAUGGCCUACCAAGGCGUCGACGGGUAGCCGGCCUGAGAGGGUGUACGGCCACAUUGGGACUGAGAUACGGCCCAGACUCCUACGGGAGGCAGCAGUGGGGAAUAUUGCACAAUGGGCGCAAGCCUGAUGCAGCGAAGCCGCGUGGGGGAUGACGGCCUUCGGGUUGUAAACUCCUUUCGCUAGGGACGAAGCGUUUUUGUGACGGUACCUGGAGAAGAAGCACCGGCUAACUACGUG
This 468-nucleotide ribosomal RNA is filed under the name uncultured bacterium. RNAcentral's name for it is "partial 16S ribosomal RNA". It matches the Rfam family "Bacterial small subunit ribosomal RNA", at positions 28 to 507 of the family's 1533-position model. The record is from RNAcentral.